This 216-nucleotide ribosomal RNA is filed under the name Glomeromycotina sp. RNAcentral describes it as "partial small subunit ribosomal RNA". The stretch from base 40 to 216 matches the Rfam family "Eukaryotic small subunit ribosomal RNA", at positions 686 to 864 of the family's 1831-position model. The record is from RNAcentral. Lineage: Eukaryota; Fungi; Glomeromycota.
GGGUCAGUAGGUUGGACGUGCCACCGGUACGUACUGGUCUCACUGAUUCCUCCUUCCUGAAUAACCGUAAUGCCAUUAAUUUGGUGUUGCGGGGAAACAGGACUGUUACUUUGAAAAAAUUAGAGUGUUUAAAGCAAGCUAACACUUGAAUACAUUAGCAUGGAAUAAUGAAAUAGGACGAUCGAUCCUAUUUUGUUGGUUUCUAGGAUUGACGUA